This 286-nucleotide long non-coding RNA is filed under the name Prunus persica (peach). RNAcentral's name for it is "long non-coding RNA (PPER_LNC002407)". Lineage: Eukaryota; Viridiplantae; Streptophyta; Magnoliopsida; Rosales; Rosaceae. The record is from RNAcentral.
UAGCCGUUACUAAGUUGACUCACGUGACCUGUUGAAAAUGGGUUUUCACCAUUAAGAGCGACUUGACUGCAAUCUCUCUCAACAAAGAAGCAAGCUGGUUGAUUGACACCAAAACCAAGAGGAGCUGUCUUAUGACUGAUUUUCCAGCUCCAAAAGGAUAGCAAAUCAAAGGAACAUCCCUUGAAACUAGUAUUUUCAUCUAAGAUACUUUUUCUCCUGCUUGUGGAUCAACUCACGAGGGCAUGUCUGCAGCAGACAUGGGACAACACUCAAGUUUUAUCCUCCA